CGCUAUCAUCAUUAACUUUAUUUAUUACCGUCAUUCAGCUUUGAAUGUCUGUUUAUCCCUGAUUAGACCGAAUGCAACGCAUUCGGUUUUUUUU
Molecule: non-coding RNA, 94 nt
Filed under: Enterobacter cancerogenus
Lineage: Bacteria; Pseudomonadati; Pseudomonadota; Gammaproteobacteria; Enterobacterales; Enterobacteriaceae
Also listed under: 1 other name
Description: MicF
Rfam family: MicF RNA
About the family: The micF gene is a stress response gene found in Escherichia coli and related bacteria that post-transcriptionally controls expression of the outer membrane porin gene ompF. The micF gene encodes a non-translated 93 nt antisense RNA that binds its target ompF mRNA and regulates ompF expression by inhibiting translation and inducing degradation of the message. In addition, other factors, such as the RNA chaperone protein StpA also play a role in this regulatory system.
Source: RNAcentral